Molecule: long non-coding RNA, 462 nt
Filed under: Nicotiana benthamiana
Lineage: Eukaryota; Viridiplantae; Streptophyta; Magnoliopsida; Solanales; Solanaceae
Description: long non-coding RNA (NBEN_LNC009286)
Source: RNAcentral
GUAAUUAUGAUGUAGUAGCUAAUGUUACUAGCUCUAGAUGUACUAAUCUGAUGCAUUACAUACAUCCAUCAAACUCUUUUGUACUUGUUUAACUAUCUAUAAUAUGGUUAUCUUUUCGACCAAAAAAAGUUUUUGAAUUUGCCUCAUGAAUAAUAAUAGACAUACAAUCUGUACAUAAACACUCAUAAAAACAAAAAUGCCGAAGAGGCAAAGGGUGUGUGUGAGAGAGGAGAGAUAAGAGAAACAGGAGAGAGUUAGGUUUAAAAAUUGGGAUGGGUCAAUAUUCGGGCGAGUUAUAGGUGAAUUUAAUCAUAAUUUGGCAUAGGGUUUACUUUAGACCAAUGAGAUGGUGAUAUAUGUAUAUUAAAUAAAAACAAUUUUUACUGAAUUUUCUGUUAGUAAUAAGGAUAAUAUUGAACCCAACAGAUAGGUAGGGCAUUUUUAUUGACAUAGGUGGGAGGA